Molecule: long non-coding RNA, 682 nt
Filed under: Zea mays
Lineage: Eukaryota; Viridiplantae; Streptophyta; Magnoliopsida; Poales; Poaceae
Description: long non-coding RNA (ZMAY_LNC004610)
Source: RNAcentral
ACUCCAGUACCAUGCAGCUUAAAUACAUAUAAUACUUUGAUGUGGAAUGAAUGGUACGAUGAUGAUAAUGAUGAUGACGACGACGACGCAGUAGUAGUAGAAGAAGAAGAAAUCUAAAUUUUCAUUUUUCAAGCGUGGUCUUCAACUUUGGUCUUUUUCAUGGACCUGCUGCUAAGCAGAGCUCGAAAGCAUCGAAAGGCCAUGCCUAAAAAUAGAAGUAUAGAAGUGAAGUUCAUACUAAUGCAUAGAAGGAAACAAUAAUAUUCACGGAUUUGUUCAAUUUGUCGCACAAAUCUGAAGGCCACGUAUGAAACACAAAUCAUAGUCAAUUGCAUCCCGAUCGAAUUUACUAAUACAUAGAAGGAAACAAGAAUGUCCACGGAUCUAUUCAACCGAAGUGAAGUUCAUCAACAUAUAACCAAGGAAACAAUAAUACAACACAUGUAAGGUGGAAACCCUAAACACGGACGCAUCUAUGGUGCAAAACUCAGAAAUGUGGGAGAGCAUACCUGUGUAGGAGUCAGCAACAGAGUGGACACAUGCAAGCGGGUCGUCAUCAUGUAUGUAGGACCUGCAACCAAAAGUCCGACGAGCCCUGACACGAAUCAGUGAGGUGGGACGAAACAGAGGAGAAGGUAGGGGAGAUACGGACACGGGGGAGAUGGGGGAGGUAUGGAACCCA